RNAcentral lists this ribosomal RNA (114 nucleotides) under Clostridiales bacterium PH28_bin88. The record is from RNAcentral. Lineage: Bacteria; Bacillati; Bacillota; Clostridia; Eubacteriales.
CCUGGUGACAAUAGCGGAGGGGACACACCCGUACCCAUCUCGAACACGGCAGUUAAGUCCUCCAGCGCCGAUGGUACUGCAGUUUAGCUGUGGGAGAGUAGGACGUUGCCAGGA